Long non-coding RNA from Neopsephotus bourkii (Bourke's parrot), 338 nucleotides. RefSeq lists it as uncharacterized. The record is from RefSeq and is a predicted model, not a curated record. The transcript has 3 exons. Lineage: Eukaryota; Metazoa; Chordata; Aves; Psittaciformes; Psittacidae.
GAGAUCCCAUCCAAGAGAAAUUUUGUUCUUUAUAGAAGAACAGCUGGUGGCACAGUCUGGUGCUUCAUGUGGCGUUAUCCACUGAUGUCCAAAAUAAACAAGGUGGAUGUUAAAAGUAAGCCCACUGCAAAGCAAAAGCAGCUUGGGUUAACUGGAAAAUUUCAUGAAUCUUCCAAGUUAUCAUCAAAGGUUUGACUAUGACAUGAAGCCUAAAAAUAGUACAGAAGAAGCAGAAUUAAAUGCCACAUCAGCAGCGAACUUGAAGUCAUGUGGCAGACUUUAAAUCUUAAAAACAGAAAUUAAGGAUGCCUCAAAAUUCUUUAAACUUUUCUCAAGCC